GAUGAACGCUGGCGGCGUGCCUAAUACAUGCAAGUCGAGCGAACAGACGGGGAGCUUUCUCCUCUGACGUUAGCGGCGGACGGGUGAGUAACACGUGGAUAACCUACCUAUAAGGCUGGGAUAACUUCGGGAAGCCGGAGCUAAUACCGGAUAAUAUAUUGAACCGCAUGGUUCAAUAGUGAAAGACGGUUUUGCUGUCACUUAUAGAUGGAUCCGCGCCGCAUUAGCUAGUUGGUAAGGUAACGGCUUACCAAGGCAACGAUGCGUAGCCGACCUGAGAGGAUGAUCGGCCACACUGGAACUGAGACACGGUCCAGACUCCUACGGGAGGCAGCAGUAGGGAAUCUUGCGCAAUGGGCGAAAGCCUGACGGAGCAACGCCGCGUGAGUGAUGAAGGUCUUCGGAUCGUAAAACUCUGUUAUUAGGGAAGAACAAAUGUGUAAGUAAAUAUGCACGUCUUGACGGUACCUAAUCAGAAAGCCACGGCUAACUACGUG
Molecule: ribosomal RNA, 497 nt
Filed under: uncultured bacterium
Lineage: Bacteria
Description: partial 16S ribosomal RNA
Rfam family: Bacterial small subunit ribosomal RNA
Source: RNAcentral